UACGUAGGGUGCAAGCGUUGUCCGGAAUUAUUGGGCGUAAAGAGCUCGUAGGCGGUCUGUCGCGUCUGCUGUGAAAAUCCAGGGCUCAACCCUGGACCUGCAGUGGGUACGGGCAGACUAGAGUGCGGUAGGGGAGAUCGGAAUUCCUGGUGUAGCGGUGAAAUGCGCAGAUAUCAGGAGGAACACCGAUGGCGAAGGCAGGUCUCUGGGCAUUAACUGACGCUGAGGAGCGAAAGCAUGGGGAGCGAACAGG
RNAcentral lists this ribosomal RNA (253 nucleotides) under uncultured bacterium. Its description in RNAcentral is "partial 16S ribosomal RNA". It matches the Rfam family "Bacterial small subunit ribosomal RNA", at positions 524 to 776 of the family's 1533-position model. The record is from RNAcentral.